This 492-nucleotide ribosomal RNA is filed under the name uncultured bacterium. RNAcentral describes it as "partial 16S ribosomal RNA". It matches the Rfam family "Bacterial small subunit ribosomal RNA", at positions 29 to 507 of the family's 1533-position model. The record is from RNAcentral.
AGUGAACGCUGGCGGUAGGCCUAACACAUGCAAGUCGAACGGCAGCACAGUAAGAGCUUGCUCUUACGGGUGGCGAGUGGCGGACGGGUGAGGAAUACAUCGGAAUCUACUUUUUCGUGGGGGAUAACGUAGGGAAACUUACGCUAAUACCGCAUACGACCUACGGGUGAAAGCAGGGGAUCUUCGGACCUUGCGCGAUUGAAUGAGCCGAUGUCGGAUUAGCUAGUUGGCGGGGUAAAGGCCCACCAAGGCGACGAUCCGCAGCUGGUCUGAGAGGAUGAUCGGCCACACUGGAACUGAGACACGGUCCAGACUCCUACGGGAGGCAGCAGUGGGGAAUAUUGGACAAUGGGCGAAAGCCUGAUCCAGCCAUACCGCGUGGGUGAAGAAGGCCUUCGGGUUGUAAAGCCCUUUUGUUGGGAAAGAAAAGCAGCAGGUUAAUACCACGCUGUUCUGACGGUACCCAAAGAAUAAGCACCGGCUAACUUCGUG